CACACCAAGGGACAAUUUAGAUCAGGGGUGGACAAUUCCAGUCCUGGAGAGCCAUUAUCCUGCAUGUUUUCCAUCUCUCCCUGUUGCAACACACCUGAUUGAAAUGAACAUCAGAUCUUCCU
Long non-coding RNA from Hippocampus comes (tiger tail seahorse), 122 nucleotides. RefSeq lists it as uncharacterized. The transcript is spliced from 3 exons. NCBI's taxonomy places the organism in Eukaryota, Metazoa, Chordata, Actinopteri, Syngnathiformes, Syngnathidae. The record is from RefSeq and is a predicted model, not a curated record.